Molecule: ribosomal RNA, 495 nt
Filed under: uncultured bacterium
Lineage: Bacteria
Description: partial 16S ribosomal RNA
Rfam family: Bacterial small subunit ribosomal RNA
Source: RNAcentral
GACGAACGCUGGCGGCGUGCCUAAUACAUGCAAGUAGAACGCUGAAGGAGGAGCUUGCUUCUCUGGAUGAGUUGCGAACGGGUGAGUAACGCGUAGGUAACCUGCCUGGUAGCGGGGGAUAACUAUUGGAAACGAUAGCUAAUACCGCAUAAGAGUAGAUGUUGCAUGACAUUUGCUUAAAAGGUGCAAUUGCAUCACUACCAGAUGGACCUGCGUUGUAUUAGCUAGUUGGUGGGGUAACGGCUUACCAAGGCGACGAUACAUAGCCGACCUGAGAGGGUGAUCGGCCACACUGGGACUGAGACACGGCCCAGACUCCUACGGGAGGCAGCAGGAGGGAAUCUUCGGCAAUGGACGGAAGUCUGACCGAGCAACGCCGCGGGAGGGAAGAAGGUUGUCGGAUCGUAAAGCUCUGUUGUAAGAGAAGAACGAGUGUGAGAGUGGAAAGUUCACACUGUGACGGUAUCUUACCAGAAAGGGACGGCUAACUACGUG